Molecule: ribosomal RNA, 401 nt
Filed under: uncultured bacterium
Lineage: Bacteria
Description: bacterial SSU rRNA
Rfam family: Bacterial small subunit ribosomal RNA
Source: RNAcentral
UGGGGAAUAUUGGACAAUGGGGGCAACCCUGAUCCAGCCAUGCCGCGUGAGUGAUGAAGGCCUUCGGGUUGUAAAGCUCUUUUGGCGGGGACGAUGAUGACGGUACCCGCAGAAUAAGCCCCGGCUAACUUCGUGCCAGCAGCCGCGGUAAUACGUAGGGUGCGAGCGUUAAUCGGAAUUACUGGGCGUAAAGUGUGCGCAGGCGGCAGAGCAAGUCGAGUGUGAAAGCCCCGGGCUUAACUUGGGAAUUGCGCUCGAAACUACUUUGCUGGAGUGUGGCAGAGGAAGGUGGAAUUCCACGUGUAGCGGUGAAACGCGUAGAGAUGUGGAGGAACACCAAUGGCGAAGGCAGCCUUCUGGGCCAACACUGACGCUCAUGCACGAAAGCGUGGGGAGCAAAC